GUGCGUGUUAGUUUCGAUAGCGUUUAAAUGCCAGAAGUGGUGUAUAACUUCGUUUGAAGUAGACUAAUAGAUUUGGUUUAAAUUUUAUAGAUUUAUUCACUUCAGAUGCGUUACCGAACGGAUGAUUUUAUUACUUUACAUUAACAAAAUUCGCUGUCAUAAUUAAGAAUAUUGGCCACUUAUAGGCUCGUGAAAGAUGACACAGAAGGGUACCGGAGGAUCAGCGACGCUGUACAGCGCAGUGCUCGCAAAAGGAGCACCACCAUCAUCCGAUACACAACCAAGCACCGAACUGAUGAAGCUGAAGAAAGCACUUUGGGAUCUGAUGGUCCAGUACCCUAAAGGUGUCACUUUGAGCAAAGCACGGAGGUCCUGCCCACUCCUCCUCGACUCUGGGGUGCUGGAUGGCUACGCUUCUGUCCGCCAGCUCUUGGCAUCCAUGCCUGAUGUGGUGACACUAAAGGGACUCGGUGUCCAGACAUUCCUUCUCCCCGCAGCUACUAAGUCUGGAGGAUAGCCAUUGUUUACAGUUUUGUUAUCCCACAAUGCUUUGCCGUCAAAAAAAAAACAGGACACUUGACUACAUGACCACAGCAGUUACUACAAAUAUAAACAUUGUUCUCCUCAAAACUGUGACCACAGACAAUAGCAUUAACUAGAAUAACCAGGAUUUUUUAUACCACAGCAUUUUUCAAUGUGACCAGAUUUCAAUCAAGAAAAGGCAGCAGUUAAAAUUAGUGUAUUCUUAAAAUACACGAUAGAAACCUUUAUUGUGUUUACAUCUUUGAAGACCACAAAAGCACUUAAUUCUUAUAUGUGGUCACGCACAAAUCAGGAAAUAAUGGUAAAAUUGAGGAAGUUGUAUCAACUGUGAUUAGGCAACUCGGGAUUUUUUUUUCUCAGUCUUAGAGUAUGAUAUAUACAUGAUUAUAACUUGGUAUAAUAACAUUGGCAUAUUUUAACUACAUUCUACUUAAAAGGUUUCAGAAGAAAUGUUUACAGGAACUUGUAACCUUUACAUUUGUAAUAAGACUUUUUAAAACUACUGUCCUUUUAAAUAACGUAUCCUCCCAAAAAAUUUACUGAAGCUUUGAUUUUAAAGCAUUUGUGUGUUUUGUCCACUUAAAUGAACUGAUUGUUGCAGGCAUAUACAUAAAGUGCAUACAAUGAUGUACAUGAUCCAUUAAUCAGCCAGUUCUACAAUUUCAAAUAUACACAUGAACAGGGUGUGUUGCGGAUCCACGUAUAAUAUGAACCAUACCGG
This 1264-nucleotide long non-coding RNA is filed under the name Sinocyclocheilus anshuiensis. RNAcentral's name for it is "lncRNA (ENSSANG00000037093.1)". The record is from RNAcentral. Lineage: Eukaryota; Metazoa; Chordata; Actinopteri; Cypriniformes; Cyprinidae.